This 450-nucleotide ribosomal RNA is filed under the name uncultured Streptococcus sp. RNAcentral's name for it is "bacterial SSU rRNA". It matches the Rfam family "Bacterial small subunit ribosomal RNA", at positions 354 to 796 of the family's 1533-position model. The record is from RNAcentral. Lineage: Bacteria; Bacillati; Bacillota; Bacilli; Lactobacillales; Streptococcaceae.
GUAGGGAAUCUUCGGCAAUGGACGGAAGUCUGACCGAGCAACGCCGCGUGAGUGAAGAAGGUUUUCGGAUCGUAAAGCUCUGUUGUAAGAGAAGAACGAGUGUGAGAGUGGAAAGUUCACACUGUGACGGUAUCUUACCAGAAAGGGACGGCUAACUACGUGCCAGCAGCCGCGGUAAUACGUAGGUCCCGAGCGUUGUCCGGAUUUAUUGGGCGUAAAGCGAGCGCAGGCGGUUAGAUAAGUCUGAAGUUAAAGGCUGUGGCUUAACCAUAGUACGCUUUGGAAACUGUUUAACUUGAGUGCAAGAGGGGAGAGUGGAAUUCCAUGUGUAGCGGUGAAAUGCGUAGAUAUAUGGAGGAACACCGGUGGCGAAAGCGGCUCUCUGGCUUGUAACUGACGCUGAGGCUCGAAAGCGUGGGGAGCAAACAGGAUUAGAUACCCUUGUAGUCC